Molecule: ribosomal RNA, 253 nt
Filed under: uncultured bacterium
Lineage: Bacteria
Description: partial 16S ribosomal RNA
Rfam family: Bacterial small subunit ribosomal RNA
Source: RNAcentral
UACGGAGGGAGCUAGCGUUGUUCGGAAAUACUGGGCGUAAAGCGCACGUAGGCGGCGCAGCAAGUCAGGGGUGAAAUCCCGGGGCUCAACCCCGGAACUGCCUCUGAAACUGCAGUGCUAGAAUCUUGGGGAGGCGAGUGGAAUUCCGAGUGUAGAGGUGAAAUUCGUAGAUAUUCGGAAGAACACCAGUGGCGAAGGCGACUCGCUGGACAAGUAUUGACGCUGAGGUGCGAAAGCGUGGGGAGCAAACAGG